RNAcentral lists this ribosomal RNA (1254 nucleotides) under Streptococcus equinus. Its description in RNAcentral is "bacterial SSU rRNA". It matches the Rfam family "Bacterial small subunit ribosomal RNA", at positions 190 to 1533 of the family's 1533-position model. Lineage: Bacteria; Bacillati; Bacillota; Bacilli; Lactobacillales; Streptococcaceae. The record is from RNAcentral.
UGUUAGAUGCUUGAAAGGAGCAAUUGCUUCACUAGUAGAUGGACCUGCGUUGUAUUAGCUAGUUGGUGAGGUAACGGCUCACCAAGGCGACGAUACAUAGCCGACCUGAGAGGGUGAUCGGCCACACUGGGACUGAGACACGGCCCAUACUCCUACGGGAGGCAGCAGUAGGGAAUCUUCGGCAAUGGGGGCAACCCUGACCGAGCAACGCCGCGUGAGUGAAGAAGGUUUUCGGAUCGUAAAGCUCUGUUGUAAGAGAAGAACGUGUGUGAGAGUGGAAAGUUCACACAGUGACGGUAACUUACCAGAAAGGGACGGCUAACUACGUGCCAGCAGCCGCGGUAAUACGUAGGUCCCGAGCGUUGUCCGGAUUUAUUGGGCGUAAAGCGAGCGCAGGCGGUUUAAUAAGUCUGAAGUUAAAGGCAGUGGCUUAACCAUUGUUCGCUUUGGAAACUGUUAGACUUGAGUGCAGAAGGGGAGAGUGGAAUUCCAUGUGUAGCGGUGAAAUGCGUAGAUAUAUGGGGAACACCGGUGGCGAAAGCGGCUCUCUGGUCUGUAACUGACGCUGAGGCUCGAAAGCGUGGGGAGCAAACAGGAUUAGAUACCCUGGUAGUCCACGCCGUAAACGAUGAGUGCUAGGUGUUAGGCCCUUUCCGGGGCUUAGUGCCGCAGCUAACGCAUUAAGCACUCCGCCUGGGGAGUACGACCGCCAAGGUUGAAACUCAAAGGAAUUGACGGGGGCCCGCACAAGCGGUGGAGCAUGUGGUUUAAUUCCGAAGCAACGCGAAGAACCUUACCAGGUCUUGACAUCCCGAUGCUAUUCCUAGAGAUAGGAAGUUUCUUCGGAACAUCGGUGACAGGUGGUGCAUGGUUGUCGUCAGCUCGUGUCGUGAGAUGUUGGGUUAAGUCCCGCAACGAGCGCAACCCCUAUUGUUAGUUGCCAUCAUUAAGUUGGGCACUCUAGCGAGACUGCCGGUAAUAAACCGGAGGAAGGUGGGGAUGACGUCAAAUCAUCAUGCCCCUUAUGACCUGGGCUACACACGUGCUACAAUGGUUGGUACAACGAGUCGCGAGUCGGUGACGGCAAGCAAAUCUCUUAAAGCCAAUCUCAGUUCGGAUUGUAGGCUGCAACUCGCCUAAAUGAAGUCGGCAUCUCCCGUAAUCGCGGAACAACACAGAGCGGUCAAUGUAUGAGUGUGAUUCUGACUCAGUAACUGUAAGCCGUAUCGCCGUAUCCGUAUGAGUCUGAUCCUG